Molecule: ribosomal RNA, 403 nt
Filed under: uncultured bacterium
Lineage: Bacteria
Description: partial 16S ribosomal RNA
Rfam family: Bacterial small subunit ribosomal RNA
Source: RNAcentral
GACGAACGCUGGCGGCGUGCCUAAUACAUGCAAGUCGAACGCAGUGGGGACGGGUGAGUAACACGUGGGUAACCUCCCAUCAGAGGGGAUAACACUUGGAAACAGGUGCUAAACCGAUACUGAUGGAUGGAACCGCGGUGCAUUAGCUAGUUGGUGAGGUAACGGCUCACCAAGGCGACGAUGCAUAGCCGGCCUGAGAGGGUGAUCGGCCACACUGGAACUGAGACACGGCCCAGACUCCUACGGGAGGCAGCAGUGGGGAAUAUUGGGCAAUGGACGAAAGUCUGACCGAGCAAUGCCGCGUGUGUGAAGAAGGUUUUCGGAUCGUAAAACACUGUUGUUAGGGAGGCGGUAUCUAACCAAAAAGCCACGGCUAACUACGUGCCAGCAGCCGCGGUAAUUC